AACGAACGCUGGCGGCAGGCCUAACACAUGCGAGUCGAGCGCACCCUUCGGGGCGAGCGGCGGACGGGUUAGUAACGCGUGGGAACAUACCCUUUGGUACGGAAUAGCCUCGGGAAACUGAGAGUAAUACCGUAUGUGCCCUUCGGGGGAAAGAUUUAUCGCCAAAGGAUUGGCCCGCGUUAGAUUAGAUAGUUGGUGGGGUAAUGGCCUACCAAGUCUACGAUCUAUAGCUGGUUUUAGAGGAUGAUCAGCAACACUGGGACUGAGACACGGCCCAGACUCCUACGGGAGGCAGCAGUGGGGAAUCUUAGACAAUGGGCGCAAGCCUGAUCUAGCCAUGCCGCGUGUGUGAUGAAGGCCUUAGGGUCGUAAAGCACUUUCGCCAGAGAUGAUAAUGACAGUAUCUGGUAAAGAAACCCCGGCUAACUCCGUGCCAGCAGCCGCGGUAAUACGGAGGGGGUUAGCGUUGUUCGGAAUUACUGGGCGUAAAGCGCACGUAGGCGGAUUAGUAAGUUAGAGGUGAAAUCCCAGGGCUCAACCCUGGAACUGCCUUUAAUACUGCUAGUCUUGAGUUCGAGAGAGGUAAGUGGAAUUCCGAGUGUAGAGGUGAAAUUCGUA
RNAcentral lists this ribosomal RNA (618 nucleotides) under uncultured Alphaproteobacteria bacterium. RNAcentral describes it as "bacterial SSU rRNA". It matches the Rfam family "Bacterial small subunit ribosomal RNA", at positions 28 to 692 of the family's 1533-position model. Lineage: Bacteria; Pseudomonadati; Pseudomonadota; Alphaproteobacteria. The record is from RNAcentral.